AACGAACGCUGGCGGCAUGCCUAACACAUGCAAGUCGAACGAGACCUUCGGGUCUAGUGGCGCACGGGUGCGUAACGCGUGGGAACCUGCCCUUAGGUUCGGAAUAACUCCCCGAAAGGGGUGCUAAUACCGGAUAAUGUCUUCGGACCAAAGAUUUAUCGCCUUUGGAUGGGCCCGCGUUGGAUUAGCUAGUUGGUAGGGUAAAAGCCUACCAAGGCGACGAUCCAUAGCUGGUCUGAGAGGAUGAUCAGCCACACUGGGACUGAGACACGGCCCAGACUCCUACGGGGGGAGGAGGGGGGGAAUUUGGAACAAGGGGCGAAGGCCGGACCAACCAAGCCCGGGGGGGUGAUGAGGCCUUUGGGUGUGAAAGCUUUUUUUCCCGGGGAGAAAAAUAACAUAACCGGGAAAAUAGGCCCCGGCUACCCCCGUC
Molecule: ribosomal RNA, 433 nt
Filed under: uncultured bacterium
Lineage: Bacteria
Description: partial 16S ribosomal RNA
Rfam family: Bacterial small subunit ribosomal RNA
Source: RNAcentral